UAGGUAAGAACUAGUUCAAAGUUUGGGAAUAGUAACAUAUCUUAUUAGUAACAACAUAAUGUUUCUCCCACUCAAACUGAGAUGAUCAUAAUAUAACUGCUAUCUAUAAUGAACAUUUCACAAUGACUAAAAUAGGUAACAUGGGUACAGAAACUAUCAUAGAAAACUAAGUUUUAUACUAUCCCUGUAACGAUGCCACUUCUCCUCCAUGUAAUGUCAAAAUUCAAUAGCAGUUUAAUGAUAUUAUUAUUCGUGUAACUUGUGAUCUUUCCAAUCUUUUUCUAUCCAUGAGCCCAUGUUUCAGCCUGCAAGUUGCUAGAAACAAAUAGGUUAUGACAGGAAAAAAUACCUGGUUCUUCCUCCUUGAGGCCCCAAUAAGCACAAAAGGGUGUUGCUACUCGCCUAUUUGUGCUUAAUAGGUUCCACAGAGAGGAAGGUGUCCCCAUUCGCGGGUUUAGCUUAUUUGCUAAAAAUAAUCAAACUAGACCAAAGAACUGAAUCAUUGGACAAUUUAAACAUGGAACAUGCAAAAAUCAUCCUGACAAAAGGAAAAUUGCCUACUCCAUACAGAGAACUGACAAAAAUAAGUUCUUAUGAUAAAUUACCUAUUUCUCUAAAACAGAUGUCGUGACCAAGAAAGCACAACACCCAAUCCAACGACGCGAGCACAUAUCCUAUCUAAGCAAGGGCGCAACAAGGACUGAAGAACCCACCACAAAAUCCAAUGCCAUUGGAAAGAGGAUGCAGUGCCAAAUCACCACCAGAAUAACACCCCCACAUCCAAUCCCUAAACCUCAUUGCAGUCUGCCACAUCAAUGAACAAAAAAAUAUAUGAAAUCUGCAUCCACGCAAGAAGGGGAGAGAUAGGGAAGUAGAGUGGGACGGAAGUAC
RNAcentral lists this long non-coding RNA (891 nucleotides) under Triticum aestivum (bread wheat). Its description in RNAcentral is "long non-coding RNA (TAES_LNC003192)". The record is from RNAcentral. Lineage: Eukaryota; Viridiplantae; Streptophyta; Magnoliopsida; Poales; Poaceae.